RNAcentral lists this long non-coding RNA (1051 nucleotides) under Homo sapiens (human). RNAcentral describes it as "long non-coding RNA NONHSAT202904.1". Lineage: Eukaryota; Metazoa; Chordata; Mammalia; Primates; Hominidae. The record is from RNAcentral.
UACAACAAGCUCUGUGGUUUUAUUUCUCCUAAAUGGGAGGAAACAUAGAGAGGAAGAAAAGUAUGCAAUCUCAGUUGCAAAUGGAGGCAGGGGCUCACCAUGUUCUCUGAUACGAUUGUACCGCCCAUUGGUAAGAAUCAGGGGCUGAAAAGAUUCUGUUACUGAAACUCAACACUUAGUUGAUACCUGCUACAACUUUAACUACUCGUUGACUGUUUACGGCUUUUGCUGUAAGUUGGAGUAUGGUGACAAACACACAAGUAAGUUUGCAAAGGCAUAUUAUUUGAUCUUCCUGUUGAGCUCUAGCUAAGGGUUCUUCAUAUAUUCUGGAUAUUAGACCUUCAUCAGAUAUGUGAUUUACAAAUAUUUUUUCCCAUUUGUUUGUUACCUUUUCACUAUCUUGAUACUCUACUUUGAGGUGAAAAUGCUUUUAAAUUCGAUGAAGUCCAAUUUAUCUAUUUUUUCUUUGAUUUCUUGUGCUUUUGGUAUUAUGUUUAAAUAUUGCAUUUCUAGAAUAAAUGUCAUGAAUAAUUAUACUGAUGAUUUCUUCUAAGAGUUUUAUAGUUUUAAUGCUUAUUUUUAGUUAUUUGAUUUAUUUGGGGUCUAUUUUUACAUAUAAUGUGAGGAAGGAUUACAACUUCCUUCUUUUUCAUGUAGAUAUGCAGAUGUUUGCAGCACCAUAUGUCAAAAAAAUCUCUUCUUUCCUCAUAAAAUUUUCUUGACACUCUUGUUAAAAUUCAAUUGACCAUAAAUGUAUGGGUUUAUUACAGUACUUAUAUUUCUAUUUCAUUGAUUUAUACAUCUAUCCUAUGCAAGUACCACAAAGUCUUGAUUACAGCAGUUUUAUAGUAAGCUUUGGAAUUGGCGAGUAUAUGUUUUCAAACUUAUUACUUUCCAAGAUUGUUUAGAUAAUUCUCAGUUCUUUUGUAUUUAAAUUUUUGCAUCAGUAUGUUAAUUUAUGCAAAAAAUGCAUUUGGGACUUGACAAGAUUUUGUUAAAUAUGUGGAUGAAGUUUUAGAGUAUUACAUCUUAACAAGUCUUUAAUCCAUGA